This 468-nucleotide ribosomal RNA is filed under the name uncultured bacterium. RNAcentral's name for it is "partial 16S ribosomal RNA". It matches the Rfam family "Bacterial small subunit ribosomal RNA", at positions 28 to 507 of the family's 1533-position model. The record is from RNAcentral.
GACGAACGCUGGCGGCGUGCUUAACACAUGCCAGUCGAACGGAAAGGCCCUGCUUUUGUGGGGUGCUCGAGUGGCGAACGGGUGAGUAACACGUGAGUAACCUGCCCUUGACUUUGGGAUAACUUCAGGAAACUGGGGCUAAUACCGGAUAGGAGCUCCUGCUGUAUGGUGGGGGUUGGAAAGUUUCGGCGGUUGGGGAUGGACUCGCGGCUUAUGAGCUUGUUGGUGGGGUAGUGGCUUACCAAGGCUUUGACGGGUAGCCGGCCUGAGAGGGUGGCCGGCCACAUUGGGACUGGGAUACGGCCCAGCCUCCUACGGGACGCAGCAGUGGGGAAUAUUGCACAAUGGGCGGAAGCCUGAUGUAGCAACGCCGCGUGCGGGAUGACGGCCUUCGGGUUGUAAACCGCUUUCGCCUGUGACGAAGCGUGAGUGACGGUAAUGGGUAAAGAAGCACCGGCUAACUACGUG